RNAcentral lists this long non-coding RNA (1053 nucleotides) under Monodelphis domestica (gray short-tailed opossum). RNAcentral's name for it is "lncRNA (ENSMODG00000039541.1)". Lineage: Eukaryota; Metazoa; Chordata; Mammalia; Didelphimorphia; Didelphidae. The record is from RNAcentral.
CUCUUAUUUUCACUUGGUGUGUUUCUACUUAACAAAAAUGUGUUUCUUGUAAACAACAUAUGGAAGGAUUUUGUUUUUUAAUCCACUCAGCUUUCUGUUUUAUGGGUGAGUUCAUCUCAUUUACAUUUACACUUAUGAUCGUCAUCUAUGAAUUCUCCUGCAUUUUGAUUUCCUCUUUUAAUAUUCUCCAUUCUCCAUACCUGUGUUAUGCUUUUAGUUACUCUUUCCCUUCCCCCCUCCAUUAUAUUACUUUCUUCCCCAUCAUCCAUUUUCUUAUUCCUCUUCUACCUCUCUAUGGAAUAAGAGAGGAUUCUAUACCCCAAUAAAUCUGGUUGUCUUCCCUCUCUGAGCCAAUUUCAGUGGCAAUAAGGUUUAAGUACUACCUGUUGCCACCCUCAGUCCCCCUUCAGUGAGUUUUCCCCCCUACACCUCUUUUUGUGAUAUAAUUUACUCUAUUCCUCUCUUCCCAUUUCUCUUAGUACAAUCCCCUAUUUCAGAUCUAGUUCUUUUUUUUAACAUAUCAUCUUAAACAGUUUAUGACCACAUUCUCUGUCUAUGUAUACUUCUCCUAAAUACUAUGAGAAUGAUAAAAAAAAUUUUAAGAGUUACAGAUAUCUUUCUAUAUGAGAAUAUAAACACUCAGGCACUUACUAGCUAUGUGACUGUGGGUAAGUCAUUUAACUCCCAUUGCAUAGCCCUUACCACUAUUUUGCCUUAGAACCAAUACAAAGUAUUGAUUCUAAAACAGAAGGUAAAGGGGGGUUGUCAGAUGCUGACAGCUAUAGAAUUACAAGAUCCAUUGAGAAACAUGAGAUUAUGGAGUGAAAUGGGUAGGACGAAAAGAACACAAUAUACAGAAGGAGGCGGAGUCAAGAUGGCAGCUUGGAAGGAGAAGUUCAGACCUCUGAAUACCCUUCCUAACCAAUCAUAAUUGAAUGCUCCCAGAGGCCUGAAAAACAAACUUAAGAACAAGACAUAGCCAAGGAACCCUCUUGCUAGACUUAAUUCAAAAGGUAUGCCCCCCCCAAAGCCUGAAUCCGAGAACACUUGGAU